RNAcentral lists this ribosomal RNA (512 nucleotides) under uncultured bacterium. RNAcentral describes it as "partial 16S ribosomal RNA". It matches the Rfam family "Bacterial small subunit ribosomal RNA", at positions 28 to 523 of the family's 1533-position model. The record is from RNAcentral.
GACGAACGCUGGCGGCGUGCCUAAUACAUGCAAGUCGAGCGGAUCCUCAUUAGCUUGCUUUUGAAGAUCAGCGGCGGACGGGUGAGUAACACGUGGGCAACCUGCCUGUAAGACUGGGAUAACUUCGGGAAACCGGAGCUAAUACCGGAUAAUCCUUUUCCUCUCAUGAGGAAAAGUUGAAAGACGGUUUCGGCUGUCACUUACAGAUGGGCCCGCGGCGCAUUAGCUAGUUGGUGAGGUAACGGCUCACCAAGGCGACGAUGCGUAGCCGACCUGGGAGGGUGAUCGGCCACACUGGGACUGAGACACGGCCCAGACUCCUACGGGAGGCAGCAGUAGGGAAUCUUCCGCAAUGGACGAAAGUCUGACGAAGCAACGCCGCGUGAGCGAUGAAGGCCUUCGGGUCGUAAAGCUCUGUUGUCAGGGAAGAACAAGUACCGGAGUAACUGCCGGUACCUUGACGGUGCCUGACCAGAAAGCCACGGCUAACUACGUGCCAGCCGCCGCAGUAA